CAGUCACACAUCGGACGCAAGUUUGGAAUUGGAGGAAAACCUGAGAUUGCAGCAAACAUUUGUUGUUCCUCUUCAAACUUGCCUCCCCUGCCACUGGAAUUAGAAGCUGCAAGCAAUGCAACCUGGGAGCGAAGGACCAGGGAUGCCAGCCACAAGCCUUCUCAGCUGACAGAGGUGUUCCAGAUGCCAUCAGACUUUUCCUCAGAGAAGGAAAAUGGGACCACUUAGCUGGCAGAAAUGGAAAAAAAAAUAAUAGAACAAAAGAAACACUAAGAAAUGAAGAGAAGAAAGUAAAAAAAUCAAGAAAAGAUUAUUUUUAAAUUCAUGAAAGAAACAGACUCUAGGAAAAAGAAUAAACUUCACAGAACUAGGCCAGAGUACUAGCCUGAAGGCAAAACCAGACUGGAAAGUCAGUAAGACCCCAAGUAGAGAAUGAAUAUUAUUAACACAAAAUGGUCUAUAUGUAGAUGUUCUCCACCAUCCAGUAAAGUAAUUGAUUUCUAGGGGAGCAGAUACCAGUUUACCUAUGAAGACUGCUCAAGAAGAUCUUGCUUAUAUAAAACCCACGGUCCUGUGACUACAGCUAACUGAAACCUGCCCUAAAACACUUCAUGAGCAAAGCAAUGUACUGGUUACCACUCCAAAUGACAAAUAUACCAGGUCAAACUCCAGAACUAACCAAGUUUCUUGGGAAAUCUCUAAAUCAGAGUUAAUACAUAACUAUAUAUGACUUUUGGAACCAAUCUUAUCUGGACCCUGGGUCAUGAUCCCCAUGGUGCACAAGUACCAAUCUAUGCUGAGUCACCAGAGAAGGGACUGGGGGGAGCAGGAGGUGGGCAGUCAGGCUGACAGUAAAUCAUGGUUCAGCUUCUUGUUAACUAUGGGAUUUUGAGUCAGUUCACCAACCUCUCUGGACCACAGUCUUUCAAUCAGUACAAAGAAGAUACAGCACAGCUACCUGGCAGAGCUGUUGUGAUGACUAUUUGAGAUAACAAAUGUUAAGCACAUAAUAUGUUGUCUAUCCCAGAAUAAAAUACUCAACAAAUGUUACUUUCUUGUCUCUGCAUCCCCUUGGUUAAUAGAUAAUUUAAAAAUCUGUAAAAUCCUACCUGCUUAAAGAGUCUUCUUCAGAAUGCUCUUCCUCUCCUAAAGAAAAAUUACAUUUGAAAUCAACAAUAGAAAUGUAGUGAAUAUUAAAAGAAUGAGAAUCUGAUUGUUUGUUACAAAGCAGUUCUUCGAGAUCACAUCUGAAGACUACACUAGAGAGAACAUCAAUUAUACUAUUGGUAGGCAAUUUGAUGCAUUAAGAACUACUACUUCCCCUCCUUUGUAUUUAUCAAAUGCAAGGAAAGGAGAAUGUAAUUUAUCAAAAUCUCAGACCUACAAGUAAAUUGUUUACAAUUACCAUAAUCCUAACCUAAUCCUAUCAGACUGACAGAAAAUGGUAUCAUUAGCAGAAUCAGCAUAAGCUGACAGUGUCAAAUUUAAAUAACAUGAUUUCUAUGGACACCUGCCACUAGAGGCAAUUAGAAGGAGUAAAUGUAUUUUGUUGUGACACAACAGAGCACUGAAGCUAUUUAGUUGAGACUGUUCCACUGAGGAUGAAACACCCUACCAUAAGGAAGUGAGGCUGAUGAGCACUGUACUUUGCAGCAAAGACUUUCCAGCCACCAGUGGACAAGAGCUCAGGGGAGUUCAGUGCACUUUCUCUAACCUUCUUGGGAAGACACUGGAGAGUUCAUUUAGUUCUAUCCAUUUCCUCUAUUUGUGAUGUAACAAGGUUCAAGUUCAGCUGACAUUUUACCUCCCAUAAUAAGAAAUACUGGAGAGAUCCCUCCUUUAAAACUCUCCCAAGAUCCACCCUGAACUGUACCUCAGUAGCACAAAGAGAAGCUUAAGAAGAAGCUGUGGCAAGUUGCCAGGGGGUAUUACCAGAAAUGCCAAAGAAAACCCAAUUCCUAUCAACUCACUCAUGCAAUCAGAAUGUGUCAUCGAUUGUCCCUCUCCUUGAUGGGAGAAAUCAUUCUUUUACAUUGCAUGUCAAGCAAAACAGUGGGACUUUCUAAUGACAAUCCCCAUGACCGUGAAGGAAGCUUUAAAACAUAAGCCACGUUGGAGAGCACAGGCUGUUUGCAUACUCAUCCCCCACAGGAAGAAGAUCACUGAGGAGCCUAUUGAUGCAACAUCCACAGCAGUCAUGCCCUGGCCUUAAUUCCAAUUGCCAGAUGAGAACACAAGACUGUGAUUCCAUUUGAUAAAGUAUACCCUCUUGAAACUGUCUCCUUGUAGUGCUAGAAUGUCUAUCUGGACCCACCUCAUAGAGCAAGAUGGUCCAAACACUUAGUGCUGUGUAGUACUGCAUCAUAGCAUUUUUCUCAACCAUUCCCAUUAUGUGGCAAAUGUCCACAGAAAUCAUGCUUUUUAUACUUGUAAGGCAUAUGCCAUCAGAUCUUAUGCUAAUGUACAAAAAAAAAAAAGAAAAGAAAACAAAAGGGAGGAUAAAGAACAUCUUAAAUGACUACAUUUAAUUAUCUUGGAAUGUUAAUAAUUUUUUAAAGUUCAAAAAGGCGGCAAAAGAACCUGCUAUUACCAUAUAAUAUAAUCAUAAAUUACCAAGACUUAGUUACCUUGAAAGUUGAAGAUAACUAAAGAUCAAGGUAACAGAAGAUGGGUAUUAUUGCCAAAAUUGAAGUAUAUGAAAGUACAUAAAGCAAGAAAUUCUAAUCACAUACUAAGGCAAGAAAAAAAACUAAUAAAAAUGACUGAAUAGCUCAUCAUGUUUUAUAAAUAUAAACAGGGAUUCAGCAUAACAGAAGUCAAGUGUGGAACAUCCAUAUAAUUAAAAUAAGAAUUUGUACUCUAAUUUUAAAUCAGAGAUUAAUAUGCUUAUUUUAUCUCAAAAUUGUACUGAAAGAUUAAUCACAUAAA
Molecule: long non-coding RNA, 2928 nt
Organism: Choloepus didactylus (southern two-toed sloth)
Lineage: Eukaryota; Metazoa; Chordata; Mammalia; Pilosa; Megalonychidae
Exons: 3
Source: RefSeq, a predicted model, not a curated record